AUGAACGCUGGCGGCGUGCCUAAUACAUGCAAGUCGAGCGAACAGAUGAGGAGCUUGCUCCUCUGACGUUAGCGGCGGACGGGUGAGUAACACGUGGAUAACCUACCUAUAAGACUGGGAUAACUUCGGGAAACCGGAGCUAAUACCGGAUAAUAUAUUGAACCGCAUGGUUCAAUAGUGAAAGACGGUUUUGCUGUCACUUAUAGAUGGAUCCGCGCCGCAUUAGCUAGUUGGUAAGGUAACGGCUUACCAAGGCAACGAUGCGUAGCCGACCUGAGAGGGUGAUCGGCCACACUGGAACUGAGACACGGUCCAGACUCCUACGGGAGGCAGCAGUAGGGAAUCUUCCGCAAUGGGCGAAAGCCUGACGGAGCAACGCCGCGUGAGUGAUGAAGGUCUUCGGAUCGUAAAACUAUGUUAUUAGGGAAGAACAAAUGUGUAAGUAACUAUGCACGUCUUGACGGUACCUAAUCAGAAAGCCACGGCUAACUACGUG
This 496-nucleotide ribosomal RNA is filed under the name uncultured bacterium. Its description in RNAcentral is "partial 16S ribosomal RNA". It matches the Rfam family "Bacterial small subunit ribosomal RNA", at positions 29 to 507 of the family's 1533-position model. The record is from RNAcentral.